GUGCUUGCUUUGACAGCACACAUAAAAAAUGAAUGGAGCGACAGAGAUUACCACGGCCCCUGCACAGAGGUGACACCCAAAUUCAUGACGGGUCCCAUAUUCAA
This 104-nucleotide small nuclear RNA is filed under the name Chlorocebus sabaeus (green monkey). The record is from RNAcentral. Lineage: Eukaryota; Metazoa; Chordata; Mammalia; Primates; Cercopithecidae.